This 292-nucleotide small nuclear RNA is filed under the name Nannospalax galili (Upper Galilee mountains blind mole rat). RNAcentral's name for it is "7SK RNA (ENSNGAG00000004295.1)". It matches the Rfam family "7SK RNA". From Rfam's summary of the family: 7SK was discovered as an abundant small nuclear RNA in the mid-70s but a possible function has only recently been suggested. The record is from RNAcentral. Lineage: Eukaryota; Metazoa; Chordata; Mammalia; Rodentia; Spalacidae.
GGAUGUGAUCUGGCUUUGACAUCUGUCACCACACUGAUUUCCAGGGAUGAUUUGACUUAUCUGCCUGGAGAGGGGAGGGAUCUCUUCCUCUCUCAACUCCCUGUGAAUCCUUCCCAAUGUGCGCGUGCUUGGUAAAGAGAACCACCUUUCCCAAUAAAGGAGGACUAGUCUUAAAGGUGUCUGCUUAACUGUGGUCCCCUGCCAGAACCUUCAGAUAAGCUUUCAAGAAUGUGCUCCAGGGAGUUUGGGAUGUGACAAUCAAAGACUGUAAAAUGAAGAUAAACAAAGCUAU